Long non-coding RNA from Cebus imitator (Panamanian white-faced capuchin), 1898 nucleotides. RefSeq lists it as uncharacterized. Lineage: Eukaryota; Metazoa; Chordata; Mammalia; Primates; Cebidae. The record is from RefSeq and is a predicted model, not a curated record. The transcript has 5 exons.
CUACGAGGCCGUUUUGCAUAUUUGAAAAAACUUGAAGUUACAAGUAUGCGUGUAUAUGCUGCAUGUGCACAGAUGCCCCAACGCGAGGGAAGGACCAUUAAACCCAAAACGCGCGUGCCCGUGUGUUCGCACAGACGUGUGCUUCGGCGCCUGCACACGGCCGGCGCGCAGGCACGCAGACGCCUACACGAAUACAUAGGCAUGUGUUACUGACGCAUCUGGGGCACUUUCUUUCAAAGAAAGUAGGGAAUGAAAAUCCAAUCUGAGAGUCAUCAGAGUUCAUCUGGAGGUCGCCCAAGGGGCACGCGAUUCCGUCGCCACCUCUCGGACCAGCAGCCCACGUCCAACGCUGGGCCGACCUCAGAUUCCCAGGCAGUCAGGAUUCCCGCCCGGUGCGCUUUUCUAUUCAUCCCUCUGCGUAAGGCUGGGACGCGCUCCAUCUCGGCGGGAGACGUCGCGCAACCGCUGAGCCCUGUCCGCGGAGACUAAACAAGGAGAGGAACAGGCUGUAAACACACAUCCUGACACACAAGCAGACCCGGCGCAUAAUGAGGUAGCAGCCUCCAGCCGGCCACCGUGACUAACUCAGAACAAAAGCGCUGACUCCACGCCUCCUCCAACAAAGGGGCCACCAGCCCCGGCGCUCCCCGAAGGCUGCGGGGCUCCCGGCUGCCGGCUGCGGAGCUGCCGCGCGCAAACUUCCCGGAGCUCCCGGGGCUGCCGGCGCCAAGGAGCCGGGGCCGCGGAGGGAGGAAUCGCAAGCCACCCGGAGAAAGCAGGGAUGUUGCUCUUGGAGAAUGUGAAGACAGUUUGCUUCUUGACAAGCGAGCGAGCGGGCGCCCAGAUUUUUGCAGCCUUUCCGAGUCUCCCCCGAGGGAGAGGCGGCAGAGAAAACGCCGGAUUUGGGAGCCGCCAGGGAAGGAUUCCGCGCAGGGGAGCCGCCCUCCUUGGCCCCAGACCCCCCUGCCUGGGGCCCCCUUUGCGCAUUGCCAGUGUAUGGCCUGAAGCUCUGAGGAUGGUGCUGGGGACUGGGGAAGACUCUUGAAUAAUAACUGCAAAGAAGAAAGAGGCGAGAAUGUCCCCCGCCCCACCUUGAAGCAGAAAGGACUGUGUUCUUAAAGCUGUUGGCUGCAGUCACAGGGCCAGUUGCCCGCCUCUAUUCCCUGAGUAAAGUGUAGCAUCUUCUGUCUUCCUGGCUUGCUUGCACCUUUCAGCAAAUUAUACCCUUUCCUCACCACAGUGGGAAUGCUCAGGGAAGUGUGUGUGUGUGUGUGUGUGUGUGUGUGUGUGUGUGUGUGUGUGUGUGUGUUUCCCCUCUACACUGAGCCUGCUGUUAGAGAGGUUACCAUGUAACACUUCCAAAAACCUGGAGGUUUACAUUUUGUAAAGGAAAGGGACACUCCUGGUCUGUCUCAACCCCAAUUCUAGUCAGAGUGGCAGGGACUGAACAAAGCCACCAACAUGGGGAAGUCCAUCUUCAGGGUAUCAUGCAUUCCCCCAGGAAACCCCCAGUGUGUAUGCUUCCUGCACUUUCCCCUUCUCUCUAACCUCUGUCUCCUGUUUGUAAGGCAGAGGAAGGGUGAUUCCCUGCCACUGCACAGGAAUGCGGGGUUACGGUUAUCUCCAAGAAAGGGUGGGGUGAGGCUGAGACACAGGGAGAGCAGAAAAGCUCUGUAUCUUCAACGAGGACACCCCCCCACCACCACCACCUUUCCCAGGCUUGUGGGCCUCAUUCAGCAAAGCAGGGAGUGUUUUAUAUUGGUGUGAGAGGCUGUCAGUCAGCAGCAAAUCAGUUCAGGCAUAUCUCUUUCUUUCUGAAAUCAACUCAUUGCCUUGGUCACACUAUACAGAAAAUCUGCUUAUCACCGCUAUCGACAAUAAAAAUUAGUGGAGUCUUA